UCUGUCCUUGCUGCAUUGGACAGAGUUGGAGUGGACUGGUCCCGCGCUGUCAGCCUGGCUACAGACGGCGCGCCAUCCAUGGUCGGAAAGAAAGCAGGUGUCGCGACAAAGUUCAAAGACAAAGUACAAGCCCUUAAUGGAGGAGAUCGUUUCUGGACAUUUCACUGUAUUUUGCACCAGGAGGCAUUGUGUUGCAAGUGCUGAAAAUGGACCACGUCAUGGAGGUGGUUGUUCGCACUGUAAAUUUCAUCCGGUCCAGAGGUCUGAACCAUCAGUUUGACAAACUUCUCAGCGACAGCAACAUUACCCACAGCCUGCCAUACCACACUGAAGUGAGAUGGUUAAGCCGAGGCGCUGUGCUGAGGCAUUUCUUUGAUCUACGAGAGGAAAUCGGACAGUUCAUGGAGAAAAAGGAAAACCGGUGUUGGAAUUACAAUCUCAGGAAUGGCUACGGGACCUUGCAUUCUUGGUUGAUAUUACUGAACACUUGAACAAUCUGAACAAAAUGUUGCAAGGCCGCAAAAAAGUUGUCACACAGUUUUCUGACAACAUACAUGCAUUUAAGUUGAAGCUGACUUUGUGGGAGAUGCAACUGGCAAAUGGCAACCCUGCUCAUUUCCCCUGUCUGAGAGAUGUGUGUGUGACCAGACCUGAUGCGGACAUGAAACGGUACAAAGACAAAAUUGCAGGACUACUGCGGGAGUUUGAGAAACGUUUUCAGGUAUUUGGUGAACUUGAGACAGAAUUUUCAGUUUUUCGCUCACCUUUCACAGUUAAAGCUUCUGAUCUGCCGGUCGAAAUUCAGCUAGAGAUAAUUGAUUUGCAGUGUGAUGCAGAUUUGAAGGGCAAAUUUGCCUCUGUAGGUCUGGACAGAUUUUAUCAGUAUCUACUACCAGGGUACCCCAAAUUAACAGCCCUGGCUGCUAAAAUUUUGUGCAUGUUUGGGACAACCUACCUUUGUGAACAAAUUUUCUCAGUGAUGAAUAUCAAUAAAACAAAAAUGCGUUCAAGGCUCACAAACAAGCACUUAAAUGACAUUCUGAAAGUGACAGCUAGUCAGGACAUGACACCUGGUGUUGAUGCACUUGUACAGGCCAAAAGAUGCCAAGUUUCAGGUACAAAUACAAGUCCAGACUAGACUAACACCUUUAAAAUGCUGCCUUAGAUACUGUUUGCAUUGAAAGAAUACAGCUCUGUGAAGAUGAAUCCUUACUGUGGUGAUUUAAAAAAUGUGCACUUUAAUGUUAGUCAGCAGCUUCAAAACAAAAGUUGUGUGAUGGAAUUCUACUGUUCAUACAACUCCAUAAAUUUUCAGUAUGUAUUGUAUGUGUAUGUAUGUUUCAUGUAUGAAGUUUAAUUUACAGGACAGGCGAACACUUUCUUCAUUACACAUUUAAAAUCACUCUCCUUAGUUUGUAAGGUGUACGCAGGGAUUACAUUUAGAUUUUAUAUGCGUAUGUGUAAGUGGUUUAAAAAUUCCUUUCUUUAAAAGUCUCAUUUAAUCUUAAAGUGCAUUACUAUAUUUUUCAGUACCAAUUAAAGUUUUGUGCCUUUGUACAAUCAGUGGGAUCAGUUGCAAUGCAUAUUUGUGAAUGAUAAAAGUAAAUUGCACAUUUGUCUAAGGAAAUAUGAGGUGUUUCAUGAAAUGUUUUGUAAAAGGAUAGUUCAUUAAAUUUCAAUAUUUUCCUAAUGUUCUUGUGCUUCUUUACACCAAAACAAAGGAAAGACAUGAUAUUUUGGUUAUUUAUAGCAGAGUAUGGUAUAAUUUUAAUGGUCUGGCCCACUUGACAUCUCCCUAGGCCGUAUGUGGCCCACGAUGCGAAAUGAGUUUGACACCCCUGCCCUAGACCCACUUCAAUUUGCUUACCACCCCGAUAGAUCCAAAGAAGAUGCAUUCGCCAUCGCACUGCCCUAUCCAUUCUGGACAAGAGGAAUACCUAUGUAAGAAUGCUGUUCAUGAACUAUAGCUUAGCAUUCAAAACCAUAGUACCCUCAAAGGUCAUCAUUAAGCUCAAGGCCCUGGGUCUGAACCCCGCCCUGUGCAACCGGGUCCUGGACUUCCUGACGGGCCGCUCCCAGUUGGUGAAGGUAGGAAACAACUCCUUCACCUCGCUAAUCCUCAACUCUGGGGCUCCACAAGGAUGCGUACUCAGCCCCCUCUUGUACUCCCUGUUCACCCAUGACUGCGUGGCCACGCACACCUCCAACUCUAUCAUCAAGUUUGCAGAUGACACAACAUUAGUAGACCUGAUUACCAACAAUGACGAGACAUUGUACAGGGAGGAGGUGAGGGCCCUGGGAGUGUGGUGCCAGGAAAAUAACCUCUCACCCAACGUCAACAAAACAAAGGAGCUGAUUGUGGACUUCAGGAAACAGCAGAGGUAGCACCUCCCUAUCCACAUCUACGGGACCACAGUGAGAAUGUGGAAAGCUUUGAGUUCCUCGGCGUACACAUCACUGACAAACUGAAAUUGUCCACCCACACAGACAGUGUGGUGAAGAAGGCGCAACAGCACCUCUUCAACAUCAGGAGGCUGAAGAAAUUUGUCUUGGCACCUAAAACCCUCACAAACUUUUACAGAUGCACAACUGAGAGCAUCCUGUCAGGCUGUAUCACUGUCUGGUAUGGCAACUGCACCGCCCACAACUGCAGGGCUCUCCAGAAGGUGGUGCGGUCUGCCUAACGCAUCACCGGGGGCAAAUUACCUGCCCUCCAGGACACCUACACCACCCGAUGUCCCAGGAAGGACAAAAAGAUAAUCGAGGACAAAAACCACCCUAGCCACUGCCUGUUCACCCCGCUAUCAUCCAGAAGGCGAGGUCAGUACAGAUGCAUCAAAGCUGGGGCCGAGAGACUGAAAAACAGCUUUUAUCUCAAGGCCUCAAAUAGCCAUCACUUGCACAUUAGAGGCUGCUGCCCUAUAUACAUAGACCUGAAAUCACUGGCCGCUUUAAUAAUGGUACACUAGUCACUUUAAUAAUGUUUACAUAUACAUUACUCAUCUCAUAUGAAUAUACUGCAUUAUAUCCUAUUCUACUGUAUCUUAGUCUAUGUCGCUCUGACAUUGCUCCAUUCCUUUACUUUAGAUUUGUGUGUAUUGUUCUGAAAUGGUUAGAUAUUAUUUGUUAGAUAUUACUGCACUGUUGAAGCGAGAAACACAAGACCUCUGAGAUGCAUCUGCUAAACACGUGUAUGUGUCAAAUUAAAUUGGAUUUGAUUUGUCUGGAGAUCUCUAAAGGGCGAGGUCUGUGUGGGGGACAGCAGGCGUGUUAAGGUUGGAUAGCUCUAAUUUUGUAUUUAUUUAUUUAACCUUUAUUUAACUAGGCAAAUCAGUUAAGAACAAUUUCUUAUUUACAAUGACGGCCUACACUGGCCAAACCCGGACGACUCUGGGCCAAUUGUGCGCCGCCGUAUGUGACUCCCAAUCACAGCCAGUUGUGAUACAGUCUGGAAUCGAACUAGGUUGUCUGUAGUGACGCCUCAAGCACUGAGAUGCAGACCGCUGCGCCAACUCGGCAGCUCCUAAAGGGGGAGGUGUGUGUGUAUAAACUACUAUGUACUGUAUUUAGUAUGUAGAAGUAUAAUCACCUGAAUUGGUCUGUGUGUGUGUUUAAACUAUUAUGUACUGUAUUUAGUAUGUAGAAGUAUAAUCACGUGAAUUGGUCUGUGUGUGUGUGUGUGUGUGUUUAGCUCUAGCCAGGUGUGUUCUGGGGUGUGUGUGUGUUAACCCAGGGAGACACGUGCAGGCACAGCCCUCCUGUUGAUUCAGAGGGAGCAGCAGCACCAUCGGCAGGCUGGGGAAAUAGGUCUGCAGCAUGAAGAAGAAGAAGUGUCUCCUCAGGAUGAAGUUUAUUAACAAGCUGUUACACCAACCUGGAGAGAGACAGAAAGGAAAGGUGACGGAGAGAGACAGAAAGGAAAGGUGAUGGAGAGAAACAGAAAGGAAAGGUGAUGAGAGAGACAGAAAGGAAAGGUGACGGAGAGAGACAGAAAGGAAAGGUGACGGAGAGAGACAGAAAGGAAAGGUGACGGAGAGAGACAGAAAGGAAAGGUGACGGAGAGAGACAGAAAGGAAAGGUGACGGAGAGAGACAGAAAGGAAAGGUGACGGAGAGAGACAGAAAGGAAAGGUGACGGAGAGAGACAGAAAGGAAAGGUGACGGAGAGAGACAGAAAGGAAAGGUGAUGGAGAGAAACAGAAAGGAAAGGUGAUGGAGAGAAACAGAAAGGAAAGGUGAUGGAGAGAAACAGAAAGGAAAGGUGAUGGAGAGAGACAGAAAGGAAAGGUGAUGGAGAGAGACAGAAAGGAAAGGUGAUGAGAGAGACAGAAAGGAAAGGUGAUGAGAGAGACGGAAAGGAAAGGUGAUGAGAGAGACAGAAAGGAAAGGUGAUGGAGAGAGACAGAAAGGAAAGGUGAUGGAGAGAGACAGAAAGGAAAGGUGAUGAGAGAGACAGAAAGGAAAGGUGAUGGAGAGAGACAGAAAGGAAAGGUGAUGAGAGAGACAGAAAGGAAAGGUGAUGAGAGAGACAGAAAGGAAAGGUGAUGAGAGAGACAGAAAGGAAAGGUGAUGAGAGAGACAGAAAGGAAAGGUGAUGAGAGAGACAGAAAGGAAAGGUGAUGAGAGAGACAGAAAGGAAAGGUGAUGAGAGAGACAGAAAGGAAAGGUGAUGAGAGAGACAGAAAGGAAAGGUGAUGAGAGAGACAGAAAGGAAAGGUGAUGAGAGAGACAGAAAGGAAAGGUGAUGAGAGAGACAGAAAGGAAAGGUGAUGGAGAGAGACAGAAAGGAAAGGUGAUGGAGAGAGACAGAAAGGAAAGGUGAUGGAGAGAGACAGAAAGGAAAGGUGAUGGAGAGAGACAGAAAGGAAAGGUGAUGGAGAAAGACAGAGGAAAUGUGAUGAGAGAGAGACAGAAAGGAAAGGUGAUGGAGAAAGACAGAGGAAAGGUGAUGAGAGAGACAGAAAGGAAAGGUGAUGGAGAGAGACAGAAAGUGAGAGGAUAAUGGGGGGAGAGAGUGGGAGAGAGAGAAAAGUUGAGGGUUUUCUUAAAGAAGCAGUACGUUAGCCUAAUAGUUACAAGAGACGAGACACACAAAGAACGCAAAACAGACACAUAUAAAUACUCAGACAGACCCGUGCUGCUGUAGAAGGCAAGGCCACUGGAAGGGUGGCACUUCUUGAUGAACAACUGAGAGAGAACAAUCUCAUCUGUCCUCAGAGACUCGUUGCCAUUCUUCCAAAACAACAUCAGAUCAUUGUCAUUAUACGCUUCUCGAAAGGGGGAGAGAGAAAGUGUGGUGUGUAUUUGUGUAACCAAUCAAUCAGCAAUCAGAUGUUUAGUGUGGGUGAAUGUUUAUUUAUGUAAAUAUGUGUGUGCAUGUCUGUGUUAGUGCACGCACAUGAUGUGUGUGUGUGUGUGUGUGUGUGUGUGUGUGUGUGUGUGUGUGUGUGUGUGUGUGUGUGUGUGUGUC
Long non-coding RNA from Oncorhynchus keta (chum salmon), 5469 nucleotides. RefSeq lists it as uncharacterized. The record is from RefSeq and is a predicted model, not a curated record. The transcript has 6 exons. NCBI's taxonomy places the organism in Eukaryota, Metazoa, Chordata, Actinopteri, Salmoniformes, Salmonidae.